GGAGUCUGGGCCGUGUCUCAGUCCCAAUGUGGCCGUCCGCCCUCUCAGGCCGGCUACUGAUCGUCGCUUUGGUGGGCCGUUACCCCGCCAACUGGCUAAUCAGACGCGGAUCCAUCUUUCACCGAUAAAUCUUUCCUCAGAGCAUCAUGCGGUGCUCUGAGCGUAUGCGGUAUUACCAGCCGUUUCCAGCUGUUAUCCCCCUGUGAAAGGCAGGUUGUCCACGCGUUACUCACCCGUCCGCCACUAAACUAUAAAGAUCAGACCGAAAUCAUCUCCAAAUAGUCCCGUUCGACUUGCAUGUGUUAGGCACGCCGCCAGCGUUCAUC
RNAcentral lists this ribosomal RNA (326 nucleotides) under uncultured Butyrivibrio sp. RNAcentral describes it as "partial 16S ribosomal RNA". The record is from RNAcentral. Lineage: Bacteria; Bacillati; Bacillota; Clostridia; Lachnospirales; Lachnospiraceae.